AAAAUAUACUCCAUUCAUCUGUGAUUCAACUCUGUCCCGAAAACUUCCCCAAACCCACAUUACAAAUGCAGCUCAUUAUUUGCUUCUUCUGGAUUUAACUCUCUUUAAAGUUUAAAUUUCACUGUGCUUAACUACAGUUUCAAUGAUAUGACCUUCUGCUGGCAUCUAUAGUUGUCAUCUCAACAGAACCAAUUAUGGGUCAGAGAUAUGACUAUGGUCUGGCAACUCCAUUCCUCACUUGAUGCCCUGUCUUCCUGCUGGAGAUGAAGCAAUAAACCUUUGCUGUAGAAGAAUCCGGUUGUCCGAGUGAAUUCUUGCUGGGGAGAUACUAGCUAGGAUAAGUGACGCUGAAAACCCGGGACCAUACCAUCACCAGGCGCUGAAAAGGUGACCCCCCGUUUCAAGGGGGCAGAUUCAGAACUACGGGACACUAAAGCUCUGUAAGGAUCAUCGACAACAGCUACAGGUCCUGGAGCGGCUGACCAAAGCAAUUCAGGGCAGGUGGAGCUGUGAGGACGUGGAUGUUCCUGUGGCUGGAGGUGCUCCCGCUCGUGAAAACUGAAGAGCUCUGUGUUCCUGAAACCACACUGUUGACGCAUUUGGGUGUUUCC
RNAcentral lists this long non-coding RNA (611 nucleotides) under Mus musculus (house mouse). RNAcentral's name for it is "predicted gene 13962". Lineage: Eukaryota; Metazoa; Chordata; Mammalia; Rodentia; Muridae. The record is from RNAcentral.